GGAUUAGAUACCCUGGUAGUCCACGCCGUAAACGAUGUCUACUAGCCGUUGGGAGACUUGAUUUCUUAGUGGCGCAGCUAACGCACUAAGUAGACCGCCUGGGGAGUACGGCCGCAAGGUUAAAACUCAAAUGAAUUGACGGGGGCCCGCACAAGCGGUGGAGCAUGUGGUUUAAUUCGAUGCAACGCGAAGAACCUUACCAGGCCUUGACAUUUAGCGAACUUUCCAGAGAUGGAUUGGUGCCUUCGGGAACGCUAGGACAGGUGCUGCAUGGCUGUCGUCAGCUCGUGCCG
RNAcentral lists this ribosomal RNA (293 nucleotides) under uncultured bacterium. Its description in RNAcentral is "partial 16S ribosomal RNA". It matches the Rfam family "Bacterial small subunit ribosomal RNA", at positions 775 to 1067 of the family's 1533-position model. The record is from RNAcentral.